GGAACUCCCAGCACUGGGUGUCUGAUAUCAGCUUGGUUUUCUCCUGAUGAUGAACAGGGACAGGGGCAGAUGAAGGAGACAGAUCUUGCUGAGCGUGCUGGUCAGCUGGGGACUCAUUGAUUAAGGGCUGGUAAUAAAUGGCUGUUAUUUAAGAACUCGUGACUGAUACCUGGCUGUCAUGCUAUUGCAACAGUCCGUGAAAUGCCUGUUGUGCUCACAGUGACUCAGGCGGACUUUCUCGACAGGCACUGUAUGUCAUGAAGAAUGAGCACCUGCCUCGCACCCUGCACGCUCUGCAAAGGAAAAGCCCUCGCGCCUCUGUCAGGCCAUGCAUGAGUCGUGGUGGCGUUUCCCACCCCGCUCGCUGUACCCCUUACAGUGUGUAUUUUGCCCAAGUUGGGUUCUGACCCCCAGGUGCCACCCCAGGCUGCCCUCCAACCCUCUCAGAUACAGUCUUUCAUCUGCUGUCCGAAGCCACCCCAGCUGAGCUUCUCCACAGGUUCCCAUGGCCCAUUCCCAGUGUCUUCUCCUACAGUGCAUUUUAAAAUUUAAAUAUUCACUGUAAUUUUCAAUCAUACCUCCUAGCACCAACAUCUCCCAAAGCCCCCUUGAUGUCUGGACUCAGUCAUAAACCUGGAUCCUGCCCUUCGAUGCCAGGUUCCGGAUAGGUGCUCUAGGUCCCAGGCACAGUAGGAUGAAAUUUAGGACAUAUUUAUGAUGCUGGAAUGUUCCAGAACUGAAGCUUACCUCUGACUUACAGAAUCAGAGCAUGAUAACAAAGGGAAGAUAUCCUCCCCCAUUCUGAAAUAGUAUGCUGGCCUCCUAUGUGGUACCUUUGCCUUAAUCUCUUCAAUGUAAUGAGGCCACCUUUCUGUAUUCAGGUCAGGCCCUCUGCAAAGACAGUGUCCAGCCACGCUGUCCAAAGCCCCUUCAGAAACCUGCGGAGCUGCUGAGCUGCCAUAGGGCAGGAACGGCUUCCAGUCGCACCAGCAAAACACCCCAGGCACUGACACCCAGCAAGGGAAGCUCUGAGCUGUGCAGAAACUGAAGUGGAGACACGUCCGCACUGUUGCUGAGGGCUACCAAGCCCCCACACCCCCAUCUAGGACUGGGUGGGAAGAAGGAGGUAACAGGAAGUUUCUGUGGAUUAUAUCCUGGAUGUGAAUUUAGCAUGCUGUCAUAUUUUACGGGCAUGUAAACUUGCAUAUGUUAGAGAAGUCUCGGUGGUGAAAUUGCUUGUCAUGACUCAGAAGAGAAGAUGCAGCGCUGGAUUUCAGGGCUUCUCCAGGCCCCUCUGUGGCUAACCCAGGUUCAGCCCACGCAAACAUCACAGGAUGCUAAAUUUAAAUCCUGCCAGAUUUGAAUAACACUUCCCAGUGUAUGUGCAGCACUGCUGCAAGACACUGCUAUAUUCUGGGGAUCCUUUUCCUCUGCUUGCAAC
This 1441-nucleotide long non-coding RNA is filed under the name Heterocephalus glaber (naked mole-rat). Its description in RNAcentral is "lncRNA (ENSHGLG00100047515.1)". The record is from RNAcentral. Lineage: Eukaryota; Metazoa; Chordata; Mammalia; Rodentia; Bathyergidae.